RNAcentral lists this ribosomal RNA (253 nucleotides) under uncultured bacterium. Its description in RNAcentral is "partial 16S ribosomal RNA". It matches the Rfam family "Bacterial small subunit ribosomal RNA", at positions 524 to 776 of the family's 1533-position model. The record is from RNAcentral.
GACGUAGGGCGCGAGCGUUGUCCGGAUUUAUUGGGCGUAAAGAGCUCGUAGGCGGCUCAUUGCGUCAACCGUGAAAACCAGCAGCUCAACUGUUGGCUUGCGGUUGAUACGGGUGGGCUGGAGUUCGGUAGGGGAGACUGGAAUUCCUGGUGUAGCGGUGAAAUGCGCAGAUAUCAGGAGGAACACCGGUGGCGAAGGCGGGUCUCUGGGCCGAUACUGACGCUGAGGAGCGAAAGCUAGGGGAGCGAACGGG